Molecule: long non-coding RNA, 1230 nt
Organism: Oxyura jamaicensis (ruddy duck)
Lineage: Eukaryota; Metazoa; Chordata; Aves; Anseriformes; Anatidae
Exons: 6
Source: RefSeq, a predicted model, not a curated record
UGCAUUUGUACAUUUCUCCUGAAUUAAAUUGGAAUUCUGCACCCUUGACAUCCUCCUACCCUCCUGGUCUCUGCGGAAGGAGACAGCGACCUGCGCAGCACAACAAAACUAGAAAUCAUCACAGAACUGCAGAAGAGCAAACGCAGUGAGCUGAGGGCAAUUCGACCGUCUUCUCUGUCAGUUCCCCAGAAGUCGAUGAAGCAUAUUACUGGGUCUCCAAGCUUUCAGAGUCCUGUAAGAACAGAGUGGGAGAAACACUGGAGCUGAACAUCUAGAUACACUUCCAAAGAUGUUUGGAAAACUGCCAGCUUCUUGCACGAAGAUUGAAACAGGAUGGGCAGAAAAGGGUGCUGGUGUGGACAUGUAAGGACGCUGUCAAGUCAAUGGAGUUCUGUUGUAGUGGUUGCUUCAGUGAACAUUCAACGCUGUCGGCCUUCACUCUGAAGAUAGAAACCUAACCAGCACUUGAGGUUUCUCCCCCACCCUGCCAAGCUUUACAAAAAAAGGUCACAAUCAACAUUCAUUGCUGUCGGUGGGUUUAACUAUGUGGACAAGCUCACUGAACAAUGAAUGCAACUGUGGCCCCACAUUUUACAGUUGCCAUUGAGAGGAACAUCAGCUCUGAAAGGAGUAGUAAGAAACAGACACUUCUUAUAGGCUACAUUUUUUCUGGUCAAAAAAUAGUUGAGGAUACUCAAUUUUCACUUCCUUGUUUAAGUGUGUUUAACUCUGUUGACUGAAAAAACACUGCUGCCUUUUUCUGGAAUAUUGUCCUUGCAGGGUUUGGCAUAGUUGAAACCAUAGAAAUCCUUGUGUAAUAUGUAUGUAGAAGCAAAUAAUAAGGAACUUUGUGUAUAUGUACUCCUCAAGACUCAUCAUAGGAGGAAAUUGUAUUUAAAUCUCACCUGAACUAGGCAUUGUGGAACAGUUCACAAAAACGCCUUUUAUACUUGUCAAGACAAAAACAGAAAGUCAGAAUUAAAUUUAUAGAUGGAUGAUGUAUAAAAAAAUAGUUUUGCAUAAAACUAAUCUUAUGCACCUAAGUAAAUGGUGUUAGCAAAUAUUAGAUUUGCCUUUUCUAGUGGUCAAAGGGAUUACAGAAAUAUAUAUAUCCAGUAAUUAUAAUUGAAAAACAAACAGUUAAACUGUAAAAUUACUGUAUACUUUGGGUACCAAUGUCACACAUAGUAUUGCUAAUAGUAAUAAGAAAAUAAACAAAAUUAAAGUUCA